RNAcentral lists this transfer RNA (82 nucleotides) under Fusobacterium gonidiaformans 3-1-5R. RNAcentral's name for it is "Fusobacterium sp. 3_1_5R tRNA". It matches the Rfam family "tRNA". Rfam says of the family: Transfer RNA (tRNA) molecules are approximately 80 nucleotides in length. Their secondary structure includes four short double-helical elements and three loops (D, anti-codon, and T loops). Lineage: Bacteria; Fusobacteriati; Fusobacteriota; Fusobacteriia; Fusobacteriales; Fusobacteriaceae. The record is from Rfam by way of RNAcentral.
GGAAGUAUCGCCUAAUGGUAUGGCAACAGAUUGCUAAUCUGUGAGGAUAAUUCCUUUACAAGUUCAAUUCUUGUUACUUCCG